ACCUGCGGAGGGAUCAUUACCGAGUCUAAACAACUCAUCAACCCUGUGAACAUACCUAAAACGUUGCUUCGGCGGGAACAGACGGCCCCGUGAAACGGGCCGCCCCCGCCAGAGGACCCCCUAACUCUGUUGCUAUAUGUAUCUUCUGAGUAAACAAGCAAAUAAAUUAAAACUUUCAACAACGGAUCUCUUGGCUCUGGCAUCGAUGAAGAACGCAGCGAAAUGCGAUAAGUAAUGUGAAUUGCAGAAUUCAGUGAAUCAUCGAAUCUUUGAACGCACAUUGCGCCCGCCAGUAUUCUGGCGGGCAUGCCUGUUCGAGCGUCAUUACAACCCUCAGGCCCCCGGGCCUGGCGUUGGGGAUCGGCGAGGCGCCCCCCUGCGGGCACGCGCCGUCCCCCAAAUACAGUGGCGGUCCCGCCGCAGCUUCCAUUGCGUAGUAGCUAACACCUCGCAACUGGAGAGCGGCGCGGCCAUGCCGUAAAACACCCAACUUCUGAAUGUGA
This 503-nucleotide ribosomal RNA is filed under the name Fusarium solani. RNAcentral's name for it is "eukaryotic LSU rRNA". The stretch from base 171 to 324 matches the Rfam family "5.8S ribosomal RNA". Lineage: Eukaryota; Fungi; Ascomycota; Sordariomycetes; Hypocreales; Nectriaceae. The record is from RNAcentral.